Molecule: ribosomal RNA, 496 nt
Filed under: uncultured bacterium
Lineage: Bacteria
Description: partial 16S ribosomal RNA
Rfam family: Bacterial small subunit ribosomal RNA
Source: RNAcentral
AUGCACGCUGGCGGCGUGCCUCAUACAUGCAAGUCGAGCGAACGGACGAGAAGCUUGCUUCUCUGAUGUUAGCGGCGGACGGGUGAGUAACACGUGGAUAACCUACCUAUAAGACUGGGAUAACUUCGGGAAACCGUAGCUAAUACCGGAUAAUAUUUUGAACCGCAUGGUUCAAAAGUGAAAGACGGUCUUGCUGUCACUUAUAGAUGGAUCCGCGCUGCAUUAGCUAGUUGGUAAGGUAACGGCUUACCAAGGCAACGAUGCAUAGCCGACCUGAGAGGGUGAUCGGCCACACUGGAGCUGAGACACGGUCCAGACUCCUACGGGAGGCAGCAGUAGGGAAUCUUCCGCAAUGGGCGAAAGCCUGACGGAGCAACGCCGCGUGAGUGAUGAAGGUCUUCGGAUCGUAAAACUCUGUUAUUAGGGAAGAACAUAUGUGUAAGUAACUGUGCACAUCUUGACGGUACCUAAUCAGAAAGCCACGGCUAACUACGUG